This 466-nucleotide ribosomal RNA is filed under the name uncultured bacterium. RNAcentral's name for it is "partial 16S ribosomal RNA". It matches the Rfam family "Bacterial small subunit ribosomal RNA", at positions 28 to 507 of the family's 1533-position model. The record is from RNAcentral.
GAUGAACGCUGGCGGCGUGCUUAACACAUGCAAGUCGAACGAUGAAGCCCAGCUUGCUGGGUGGAUUAGUGGCGAACGGGUGAGUAACACGUGAGUAACCUGCCCUUGACUCUGGGAUAAGCCCGGGAAACUGGGUCUAAUACCGGAUAGGAGCGCCUGUCGCAUGACGGGUGCUGGAAAGAUUUUUCGGUCAUGGAUGGACUCGCGGCCUAUCAGCUUGUUGGUGAGGGAAUGGCUCACCAAGGCGACGACGGGUAGCCGGCCUGAGAGGGUGACCGGCCACAAUGGGACUAAGACACGGACCAGACGCCUACGGGAGGCAGCAGGGGGGAAUAUUGCACAAUGGGCGGAAGCCUGAUGCAGCGACGCCGCGUGAGGGAUGACGGCCUUCGAGUUGUAAACCUCUGUCAGUAGGGAAGAAGCGGAAGUGACGGUACCUGCAGAAGAAGCACCGGCUAACUACGUG